RNAcentral lists this long non-coding RNA (656 nucleotides) under Homo sapiens (human). RNAcentral's name for it is "long non-coding RNA NONHSAT221218.1". The record is from RNAcentral. Lineage: Eukaryota; Metazoa; Chordata; Mammalia; Primates; Hominidae.
CAUCACAGACAGCCUUCUGUCUACUCUGCCAGCUGCAGCAGAGUAGAAGUUUCAACUCCUUUCCAUGGGGACUGUCAGGAGCCCUAUGCCAUCAAUGACUCCAAGGUUCCCAGUCAAACCCAGGAGCACAAGCCAUCGACCCAAGAUUUGCUGCUUCAGAAGGAUGAGCUUGACAGACAAAAUCCCAAGCGCAUUAACGCAGUCUCCCAUUUGCCUUCGAGAACACCCCUGAUCCAGACAAAAAAGAGCACUUCCUCCAGCAGCAGUGAGUUUGAGGCAUUUCACAGAGUCCAUUUUCUAUAAAAGAUCAAAGAGGAACAGCUCUGCUUGAAUCAAGCUUGAGAAGAUCUGAAUGCAUAUGCUUCCCAAAGAAAUUUUUACAAGAGAAACUUAAACCGCUACUGCCAGGAGCACUGGCCAUUCCAGCCAUGCCUCACUGGGAGGCCCUGAGCAUUCUAGCCGGCGGCUGCACAGCUGCUGGGGCAUCUCCAUGAGGAAGAGGGCGGUGGACAGGAGUCAUGAAGACUAAUUCGGAAACUCCCCUGAAGGAGGAGAAGACAUCUGAGCCAUCCUUGUGCCACCAAGCAAGAGUCACUCCAGCUCCUAAAAAGCCACCAUGGGAAGAGCUGCCUCCAAUUAAAGUUCUUGAUUGCACC